UUCCAGUUUUGUCAUUUGGAAUAGCAGAGGCUCGGUUAUGGGCAGCGGAACAGUACUCCACAAAUUCGUAUCCGAUCCCUUUACAGUAGAAGCCAUAGCUUGUCUCCAGGCCUUGAACCUUUCACGUGAAAUGGGGGGAGGGGGAAUUCAAGCUACUACCGCAAACACUGGUAUUGAAAAAGUAUAAGACCUUAUUGAUCAAUCAGCAAAGACUUGGAAAGUGGAACUUAUUAACAGUCUUUUUACCCGGAUGGAAGCUCAUGCAAUCUGUUGUAUUUCUCUUUCAAUUUACACAAUUGAAGAUAAAAUGGUGUGGUGUAUAGAUAACUCUGGUCUGUAUACGGUAUGCAGUGGUUACCGCUGUCUUAUCGAAUCGAAUAUCAACGACACUAUAAGUACCAAUCAUACAAGAUUUUACAGCAGAUUUGGGAGCUACAUCUCCCCCCAAAAAUUAGAAUCGCCAUUUGGUGAUUUAGACAUGAAUACAUUCCUACUGCAACAAAUCUCUACAACAGAAGAAUAAAUUCAUCUCCUAUUUGUCCUAGCUGUGGAAAGGCUCAUGAGAAUUUUAUGCAUAC
This 578-nucleotide long non-coding RNA is filed under the name Gossypium raimondii (Peruvian cotton). RNAcentral describes it as "long non-coding RNA (GRAI_LNC010819)". The record is from RNAcentral. Lineage: Eukaryota; Viridiplantae; Streptophyta; Magnoliopsida; Malvales; Malvaceae.